This 596-nucleotide long non-coding RNA is filed under the name Homo sapiens (human). RNAcentral describes it as "HSALNT0042408". Lineage: Eukaryota; Metazoa; Chordata; Mammalia; Primates; Hominidae. The record is from RNAcentral.
GAAUUUCCACCUAACAUUCACUUCCUCCAUGGCAGAUGCCUGUCUUUGAGCUUAGGUUAAAAUGCCAGGAUUUUAUUCUAGAGGAUCGUACCUUAAUUCCUCUUCGUAACCAAUAAACAGAAAUGCGUCAAGGGUUUCAGCCAGUAACAGCAGUUUCUUCUCUGUAUUUGCUACCCUAUGUCAACAUGUCAACUAACGUGAUCUCCCCUAAUGAUCUCCCCUAAUGGAAUAGAUGCAAGGAGUCGAGUUAACUUUUGUAUCACUAAUUGCAGUUCUGAGGAAGAGAACGUCAAGAUUAAGUUUGGGCAUCAGAAGUUCUUGCCACUAAGCUGCUCACAAGAGGUUAAUAAUGAGUUCUACCGCAUCAAAAUUAUUUGUUUCCUAUAAUGGAAAAGGAAAAAUCUUCAUGCUAUCUCCACUGGGCAGAAAGCAGGAGGGCAAUUUGUACACCACAUCUAUACUACCCAAGAGAAGAGGAGAGUGAAGAAAUUUUUUGGUGAAUUUAGGCAUUAUAGACAGCUGAUCUAGACUACUUCAGUUCCAAAGUGAAAUUCUGUGUAUAAAUUAUUCAGAACGACUCCCUAUCCAGAUCAGUG